GGGGCCCUGGAGAGUCAGGGAUGACCUCGGAGAUCUAAUAUAUUUCCAAGGGCAUGCCGCACCUGGAAUCUAGCGCGUUCCUUUCUUGAAGGGCGCUA
Molecule: transfer RNA, 98 nt
Filed under: Gammaproteobacteria bacterium
Lineage: Bacteria; Pseudomonadati; Pseudomonadota; Gammaproteobacteria
Description: tRNA-Ile
Source: RNAcentral